AAACGGUUGCUAAUACCGGAUAUGCAUCAUGGCCGCAUGGUCUGUGGUGGGAAAGAUUUUUCGGUUGGGGAUGGGCUCGCGGCCUAUCAGCUUGUUGGUGAGGUAGUGGCUCACCAAGGCGUCGACGGGUAGCCGGCCUGAGAGGGUGACCGGCCACACUGGGACUGAGACACGGCCCAGACUCCUACGGGAGGCAGCAGUGGGGAAUAUUGCACAAUGGGCGGAAGCCUGAUGCAGCAACGCCGCGUGAGGGAUGACGGCCUUCGGGUUGUAAACCUCUUUUAGCAGGGAAGAAGCGUAAGUGACGGUACCUGCAGAAAAAGCGCCGGCUAACUACGUGCCAGCAGCCGCGGUAAUACGUAGGGCGCAAGCGUUAUCCGGAAUUAUUGGGCGUAAAGAGCUCGUAGGCGGUUUGUCGCGUCUGCUGUGAAAACCCGAGGCUCAACCUCGGGCCUGCAGUGGGUACGGGCAGACUAGAGUGCGGUAGGGGAGAUUGGAAUUCCUGGUGUAGCGGUGGAAUGCGCAGAUAUCAGGAGGAACACCGAUGGCGAAGGCAGAUCUCUGGGCCGUUACUGACGCUGAGGAGCGAAAGGGUGGGGAGCAAACAGGCUUAGAUACCCUGGUAGUCCACCCCGUAAACGUUGGGAACUAGUUGUGGGGGCCUUUCCACGGUCUCCGUGACGCAGCUAACGCAUUAAGUUCCCCGCCUGGGGAGUACGGCCGCAAGGCUAAAACUCAAAGGAAUUGACGGGGACCCGCACAAGCGGCGGAGCAUGCGGAUUAAUUCGAUGCAACGCGAAGAACCUUACCAAGGCUUGACAUACACCGGAAACGUCUGGAAACAGUCGCCCCUUUUUGGUCGGUGUACAGGUGGUGCAUGGUUGUCGUCAGCUCGUGUCGUGAGAUGUUGGGUUAAGUCCCGCAACGAGCGCAACCCUCGUUCUAUGUUGCCAGCACGUUAUGGUGGGAACUCAUGGGAUACUGCCGGGGUCAACUCGGAGGAAGGUGGGGAUGACGUCAAAUCAUCAUGCCCCUUAUGUCUUGGGCUUCACGCAUGCUACAAUGGCCGGUACAAAGGGCUGCAAUACCGUGAGGUGGAGCGAAUCCCAAAAAGCCGGUCCCAGUUCGGAUUGAGGUCUGCAACUCGACCUCAUGAAGUCGGAGUCGCUAGUAAUCGCAGAUCAGCAACGCUGCGGUGAAUA
RNAcentral lists this ribosomal RNA (1202 nucleotides) under Microbacterium sp. BAB-3236. RNAcentral's name for it is "bacterial SSU rRNA". It matches the Rfam family "Bacterial small subunit ribosomal RNA", at positions 154 to 1368 of the family's 1533-position model. The record is from RNAcentral. Lineage: Bacteria; Bacillati; Actinomycetota; Actinomycetes; Micrococcales; Microbacteriaceae.